AUUAAGCUGAAUAAAUGACCGUCAAUUCAUUAAACUGAACAAAUGACCGUGAAGUCAUUAAACUGAACAAAUAACCGUCAAGUCGUUAAACUGAAUAAAUGAUCGUCAAGUCGUUAAACUGAUCAAUUAACCGUCAAGUCGUUAAAUUGAACAACUGACUAUUAAGUCGUUAAAUUAAAUAAGUGACCGCUAAGUCGUUAAAUUGAGCCAGCCACCAUCAAGCUCUACUUGAUUUGACCAUCAAAUCGUUAAAUUGAGCAAAUCAAAUGAAGGUCAACUCAAACUGACUUCGAUGCCAUUAAACUGAGUAUCUCAAAUUCAAGCCGACCGUCAUGUCAUUA
This 341-nucleotide long non-coding RNA is filed under the name Ananas comosus (pineapple). RNAcentral's name for it is "long non-coding RNA (ACOM_LNC010249)". Lineage: Eukaryota; Viridiplantae; Streptophyta; Magnoliopsida; Poales; Bromeliaceae. The record is from RNAcentral.